This is an RNA transcript of Haliotis rubra (blacklip abalone), 4577 nucleotides long. It is a transcript of the gene named carboxypeptidase D-like, with no coding region annotated. The transcript is spliced from 10 exons. The record is from RefSeq and is a predicted model, not a curated record. NCBI's taxonomy places the organism in Eukaryota, Metazoa, Mollusca, Gastropoda, Lepetellida, Haliotidae.
CAGCCGCUGAUUGACUGAUCACUGCACUUCAGUGUCUAUGUGUGGGCUAAACCAGUGGGAAAUCCGAUAUCUUCAGCAUUCUACAGUAAUGGGUUUCUGAUCCCUGAAAUUGCAAGAGGAAAGUUGUAUUUGAGAAUGAAAGUUCAUCUGACCUUGACCUUGGUGGUCUACCUCACGGGCAUCAGUGGCCUUGACUUUGGGUACCAUGAUCAGGCUGCAGUAGAAACAUUCCUGACAAACAUAUCCACAACCUACCCUGAUAUAACCCGUGUGUACAGUGUCGGGAAGAGUACAGGAGGUGCAGAGAUGUGGGUUAUUGCCAUCGGUGAGAAUCCCAACAAGGUCCAUACCCUGCUGCGCCCCAAUGUGAAAUACGUCGCCAACAUGCAUGGAAAUGAGGUUCCUGGCCGAGAGAUGGUGCUGCAUCUGGCAGAGUACUUUGUCACCAACUACAACCACAAUGACACCAUCACCAACUUCCUCAGCACCACCACCGUCCACCUCAUGCCCAUGAUGAACCCAGACGGCUUUGCCCAGUCCUUUGAAGGCAACUGUACAGAUGUGAUUGGCAGGUAUAACAAGAAUGGAUACGAUUUGAAUCGGAACUUCCCUGACCACUUUGCAACAAACCCGGCUCCCAUUCAAAAUGAGACGAUGAACGUAAUGAAAUGGAUCGAAGAUAUACCGUUUGUUCUGUCUUCAAACUUCCAUGGUGGUGUUGAGGUGGUGAACUAUCCCUGGGACAGUUACCCUGGUGCUAGUAAUAUUGCUAAGUAUUCGAAGAGUCCAGACGAUGACGUCUUUGUCCACAUCUCCAAGGUCUACUCCUACUCCCACGCCACCAUGUACAAUGGUCUUCCAUGUUCCAACAGCAGUGGUGAUGGGGGAUUCGAAGACGGCAUCACUAAUGGGGCGGCUUGGUACCCCGUGACAGGAGGGAUGCAGGACUACAACUACGUCCGUGCCAGCUGCAUGGAGGUCCUGGUGGAGAUGACAUGCUGCAAGUAUCCAAUGGCCAGUGAGCUGCCCAGCAUCUGGAGUGCCAACAAGGACGCCCUCAUCAACUUCCUCAUGUUGGUCCACAUGGGCGUGAAAGGGCUGGUGACCGACAUCAACAAUAAUGCUAUCAGUGGUGUGAUGGUCACAGUCAAGCACAGGGAGGAGAUCGUGUUUAAGACGACCAAUCGUGGAGAAUACUGGAGAAUGUUGAUGCCGGGGACAUACACCGUAGAGUUCAAAGCCAAUGGUUUCGACACUGUGAGCAAACCUGUGACUGUUCAACAAGGGGAGGUAGCUCGUGUGGAUGUUGAGCUAAAGGAGGCAGCCAUAGGGUGCGCUGGUUGUCCUGAAUACCUGUCUGUCUUGAUGUCUGUCUGUUGUCUGUAUUCCUACUUCAUGUCCUCGUCUCCAUGGGUUACUAGCACACUUGGUUGAUCAGUACCUUUCUGAAAAACCUUUGAGGCCAUAAUUACAACAUCUCUCACUUAUGAUUGUUAUACGAACUGUGAUGCAAAGAUUUAUGGUGAUUGACGGCAUUUUUGAUUUUUGGAUGUGAUUUAUAUUUUCAGGCAUAAUAUACAAUAAACUGAAGCUGUAAUUAUUUUAAGACCGAGUUAUUUAAUCAGAUUUGCUCAGUAUUCUAUUUUUAGAAAUAUUUUCCUUUUUGUAGAAUUGUCUUAUGUGCUUACGAUGGAAGUCAUGUAUAUAUGAUACAAGUAUUUAUAUGUGCGUCUCCAUCAAUCUUUUCUGUGGAUCAUUGUUUUCCAAGUUUUGGAAGAGAACAAUUCAUGUUUGGAAACAAAAGCAUCAAACAGGAGUAGUAACGCUGUAUAAUCUCGCAGUAGAAAAUAUUUGUGAAAUUAUGACAGAAACAAUGAAUAUACGAAAAUCAGGGGAUAGAAAUUAUGAGAGCUUCAACCUGCUGUCAGGAGAAUGGACUUUAGCUUGCUAAGUGCAAACAAGUGUGGCAUAGUAAGAAAAUCAAACAUAAUGAACAGUUGUAAAUUCAAUAGAUUCCUAAUUCUCUCUGUAAAUCCCUAUACAUCUCUUCCUCUCUAUUUGUGUCUCUUACUUACCAAUGAAUUCCUUCCUGUAUCUGUUUUCCUUUCACUAUUGCUCUCUCUCUCUCUCUCUCUCUCUCUCUCUCUCUCUCUCUCUCUCUCUCUCUCUCUAAUCCAAUAAUUCUUCAUGAUUCAAGGACAUAUGCAUAAUUUACAUCUUCAUUAUUCGUGAUCAUCUUGACGUUUUCAUGGUGAUACCUUGCUUGAUAUUUCCAUGAUCCAUGAUAUCUAUUUACUUGAUAUUUUCAUGACUAGUGGUGGUACUAUAUUGGAUAUUUCCAUGAUUCAUGCAAAUGCUAUUCAUGUUUCCAGGAUUUGUGAUAAUACUGUACUUCAUAUGUUCAAGAUUCACAAUAAUGUUUGUUAAUUUAUUCAAUCAUUUGCAUAAAAGCAGCUGUCCCUCAGUCCUGUAUUUACGUGUUUAUGCAAAUUUGAAGAUGUUAUCUUUUACACGACUCUGAUAAGUUCUUCAUUAUGUAUAUACAUGGGAGGCUGAACAGGUUUCAUGCAUUUGUUGAUCAUCUCCUGUCGUUCUUUAUCUCCCAUUGUUCUUUAUCUCCCAUUGUUCUUCAUCACCCCAUCACCAAUUGUCCCGUCUCCCAUUGUUGUUAGCCAGGACAUAAUGAUAUAUCUUUCAUAAUAUAAACAUCCCACAAUUCUCCACAAAAUAUUUUUGUAUCAUCUUUUAUUUGUCUUGUUUUUGCUGUCUUAGAUCAGUCAGUACAGUGGAAGCCCUCUAAACUGGCAUUCGUUGGGACCGGCAAAAUAUGACGGUAUAGAGGGCAUGCCAGAUAAAAUAACUUUUCCUUUUUCAACCUGAAAAUGAUCUCCGUGUGCCGUAAAAUACGACUGAACAAAGUGUUGAUAGUCAUCAUAUUCUUUAUUCAUCAAUAAAGAUAACAUCUGGUAAAGUACGGAAAAACAAACCAGUCUCAUCGCAGUUAAAGACAUCUUCACUAGGCAUAUCCAUCAAUCAAAGUCGGGAGGCGGGAGCUUAAUGCUGAUGGUAAUCCACUGUGUUGUCAAUACACGUUCAGCCAAUCAGCCAAUCAACAGGAGAGCUGAAAUACCAGAUGGCGGUUUAGAGAGCAUUAAUUAUUGUACAAACAGUCAAUUGGGCUGCCUUUGUUGUGCCGAAAUACAGAAUAGACUGACGCCGGAUUAGACUGCGUGUAAAUGAUCAUAAAUUAACUAGCUUCUGCCGGGACCAAAUUCUCGUACCGAUAUUGAGAGCAUGCCGGAUUGGAGGGUUGCCGGUUUAGAGGGCUUCCACUGUAUUCUAAAUACACUGAAGUGAAGUCAAGUCAAAAUUAAUCUUUAUUUCAGACUUGAUCUGCUAUUUUUGUUGUUGAAAGAAUGCUACUUUUAGAUAAAAAAACAACAUUGUUAGAUUUAUUUCUUUAAUGUUUUUCUCUACUGUGUGUAAUUACUAAAGUAUGUGACAUUUUUCAUGUACUUGACUAGUUUGAGAACUUGUUUAAAUUUAUUAAGUACUUAACAGACUUUGCUUGACGAAGGGAAAUGUUUUUGCAAUUAUUGUCACCAAAUCCUUAAACCAAGAAACCUGCCAUAAUGUAUAUAUUUGUUGAGAUGUUCUUGUUGGGAAUGAUAGAUAUUUUAUGGAUGUUUCAUUAUAAUCUUCCAUUUUCUUCACCUGUUUGUAUUAAGCAGUUUUCACUGUUUAUUAACACAUUGUCAGGACAGUAGGACAUUUGUUGAAUAUUGAUACAUAUUGUGUUAUCCUCGUGAAUUAAUGAUACAGACUUGGAUGGAACUCAACUCAAAGUAAUGGAAGGACCACAAAUUUUCAAAUUAGAAAAUUAUCUGCAAUAGGUCAAAGAUGUUAGUGGGUCAUUAAAUUACAUUUUUUCAAAUGUAGGUGAUCAUACUUUUUCCUGUAUUUUUUAUUUGAAUCAUCCCAAACUCACUUGAUCUUUGUUGUAAUAGUAACAUUUAACAGUUUUGUAACAGAUUUCUUUUGAUCUACACUGAAUAUAAAGAAUGUUUAAUUUAACAUUGUUAAAUGUCAGAAUUUAUAGUCAGGAUUAAUAAAUCAGAGUUAUUUGUAUUGUGAUGAGUUGUCGAGAACAUAGUGUCAAAACAACUCCUGAUUACAGGGUUGCACAGGAAAGAUACCAAUUGUUGAUGUGACAUUGUUUAUCUUCCCUCUUCAGCAUCCUGGCAAGCCGUUUCUAUCGAGGGAUUUUCUCCAGGAUAUGAUUCCAAGACCGACUGUUUAUUUGGCUUAUGUUCCGCCAGUCAGAUCUGACUGAUGUCCCAUCAGCCAACCACAUCUCUGCUACCAAGUCUCUAUACAUCAGUUAUAUGUUAACUUACUCUUCUGACUGUCAUUGUACAUGGAGAAUAAUCAAAUAUUUGCAUCACCGGUUGAAAAAUACAUGUCUAUAUGAAAUACAUAUGCAAUUGCUGCCCAGAUCAAAAUGAUGUUUAACAGAUUAAUUUAAAUGAUAUUAAAGCUCAAAUGUAAGAAUCUUAUGAAUAAAUUUGGAUUUUGUA